Molecule: ribosomal RNA, 250 nt
Filed under: uncultured prokaryote
Description: partial 16S ribosomal RNA
Rfam family: Bacterial small subunit ribosomal RNA
Source: RNAcentral
UACAGGGGGUGCAAGCGUUAAUCGGAAUUACUGGGCGUAAAGCGCGCGUAGGUGGUUUGUUAAGUUGGAUGUGAAAGCCCCGGGCUCAACCUGGGAAUUGCAUCCAAAACUGGCAGACUAGAGUACGGUAGAGGGUGGUGGAAUUUCCUGUGUAGCGGUGAAAUGCGUAGAUAUAGGAAGGAACACCAGUGGCGAAGGCGACCACCUGGACUGAUACUGACGCUGAGGUGCGAAAGCGUGGGGAGCAAAC